CGAAUGAUAAAGUAAACCCGUUGAAAGAUGGGGGCACAAAGCUAUGGGUCUAAGGCUUUAAGCUAUGAUUGCCAGGCCGCCAUC
This 84-nucleotide non-coding RNA is filed under the name Peptococcaceae bacterium CEB3. RNAcentral describes it as "Desulfitobacterium sp. enrichment culture clone CEB3 c-di-GMP-I riboswitch aptamer". It matches the Rfam family "c-di-GMP-I riboswitch aptamer". Rfam says of the family: GEMM was predicted in a large-scale screen for bacterial structured RNA regulatory elements. Lineage: Bacteria; Bacillati; Bacillota; Clostridia; Eubacteriales; Peptococcaceae. RNAcentral also lists the same sequence under 1 other name. The record is from Rfam by way of RNAcentral.